Long non-coding RNA from Neofelis nebulosa (Clouded leopard), 6211 nucleotides. RefSeq lists it as uncharacterized. The transcript has 2 exons. NCBI's taxonomy places the organism in Eukaryota, Metazoa, Chordata, Mammalia, Carnivora, Felidae. The record is from RefSeq and is a predicted model, not a curated record.
AGUAGUCUUUGUAAAACCUGUUGCUUUUCUAGAAUUCCUUUUAUAGUUGGGAUGUUGGGUUAGGAAAUAUCUUUUUACCUUUUCUUUGUGUUAAGUUUAUGGUUUCAGAACCAUCUUUUUCACCUCAUAAAUAAGUUACGCCAACUCUAGUUAUCACGAUCAUAGACCUGAGGGGAUUUUGUACAAUAUGAUCGACUCACUCAUGUUUAUAGGUGUAGAAGUUUGAGGCCACAGAGGUGAAGUGAUUUGCCCAGAGUCGCACAUGUCAUUAAUGGUAGGGCUAGAAUUAGAACCUGGGUCACUGGUGUGGUACUUUUUCUGCUGUGCUGUGCCACCUUCUGAAAAUGUUUUGUCCGGUAUUUAUUGUAUACCUACUAUGUGUCUGCCAUUCAUUUCUCUUGCAAAGGAAAUGUACCAAAAUGGCUGCUAGAGUACCAUGUUGUUCUGUAAAUACUCACCAUCACUUUCCACUGAGCAUAGAGACUGUGUAAUCUGUAUUUUCCAUUAAAAAUUUUGCAUUUUAAAUUUAUAGAUUAAUAUACAUUAUCUAAUUUGAUAUUUACAACAAUUCUGUGAACUGGUUGGAGCAGUUAUCGCUCUUGUGGAUAAAGAAGUAAAAAUGCAAGAAGAGUUAAAUAGUUAUCUAAGGCAUAUGGCUGCAUUUGGCUGUAUUAGUGUCCGGUGACAAAGUUAGGACUAAAAGUCAGGUUUUUUAACAUUAGGGCUCGUACUGUUGAUGCUACCUUGUCAUUUUUUUCCUGUGUUCUAUCAUUCCACGUGAGAUGUUCUCCGAGGAAGUAUUAAAUACAGUAUAUAUGCAUCGCCCAAGGAUUCUUUUGUGUGGAUACCCCUCAAGAGGUGGCAACAUGUGGUGAGAGGAAGGUAUAGCAGAUAGUAAAGAAGUGGUAUUAGUGAGAUUGGGCCCAUGAAGUAUUUGCUUUUCCAGUUUUUAUAUGGGAGGUACCUUAGUAUAAUAGAAAGAGUACUGGACCCAGGGAUUUGAGUUCUAUUGCUGGUUCUGCUACCAACUUGCUGUGUGACCUGGGGUGAGUCUUAAUUUCUCCGGGCCUCAUUUUCUUUGUAAAAAGAGCAUAGCACCUUCCCAGUACACGUUAUGAGGUUGUUUUAAGGCUUGAUAAGGUAUACAAAACAUGAGGUCAUAUGAUUAUCGAAGUUUCAUGAAUGUUGAUUUUUUGAGAACUAAACCACAAACCCCUGCUCAUCACAAAUGUUUUUUUUUCCCCAUUUCGGGGAAUACCUUCUGUUCACACACCAGCCCUUCGCAUGGCAAACUGAAGACCAAGGUGGUGUCUUCAUAUUAGUUUUCCACUGAAGGACAAAUAACAACUGCAUAUACCUUUGUACUCUGUAGGCCAUUAAAGCCAAAGAGGUUGACUUGGUGUCCAAGAGGCAGGGGAAGGAGGGGACUACGGACCCAGUGCAUAUGGAAUGCAAGUUGUAUAUAUGCCAGGCCUAAGGUCCAGAGGAGUGGUGUGGAGACACGUUUCCAAUUUACUCUGAAAGAAGGACUCUAAAAAUAUUACUUCAGAGAGUUGUAUCUUUUGAAGAUUAAUUUAGUAGUUUAGAGGAAAAAAUGCCAGGUGGGAAUGGUUUAGUGUAGACAACACCUGUCUUCUGAAUGACAGAUGAGUACUCCCUGACCACCAGUCGGUGGAAACAUCUGUUCUACCUUUUUCUCAGUUCAAAAGACAUUUGGAACCAUUGCCGUGAGGCUUAGCUUUUUAAAUUUAGUCCGCAAGAACAGCAGCAUCUCAGCCGGCACCGUGAAUAGCACGAUUCACUCAUGGGGGACAGACAGGCUGUAGUGGGUUAGUCUGGAAUUUUGUCCAUUGUUCAGGAAAGAACUCUAGGACUUGAUGCUGGUUUUUUUUUUUGCUGAUCAUAGUAACUAACAUUUUUGAGUAGCUGCUGUGUGCUAGUAAUUUUUCUAAGUGCUUUAUUUUUAAGUCAUUUGUGAGUAGUAAUGCAUUCACUUGUCGCUUCUUGGUACGUAAGUCCUUACUUGGGAGCAGUGAAGAGGAGAGUGGAAUUGUGAGGUAGGAGAAUGGAUUGAAAAAUACUGUCUUCAAACCUGAAGGAAACAAUGUCACUUAAAAAACCCUUAGAAUCUUGCUGUCUGCAAAAUUUUCUACUUAACUCUUAAAAUUAUUGCAGACUUUGAGCCAUGCCACUGUUGUGUAGAUAAGUGUAGGGAUGCGUGUAAAUGCCAUGCAAAGUUACGGCCAAAGAAGUGGAGGCUGACUGCAGUUCUGCUUCUUGUUGGAAAGCCUGCUCAAAGAGAGGUGUUUUUCACCACCUAAGUGGUACUUAGGGUUACCACUUUUCUUUUUCACGUACUUCUGCUUGUGAAGAUAGUCUGACCAGGUCCAAUUGCUAGUUAGCUUUGCCUUUUCUGUGUUUUUGGAAGCAGUACCACAAAUGCAUUGGUUCUUCACUGAGAUUGGUGUUCAAGGGGCUAGAGGAACGUAGCUAGGAAAGCCUAGAAAAAACUUGUGCAGAGAAGUUUCCUUUGGGUUGUAUAGCUGGGCUUGCGAAGAUAACUUUUAUGAAGAAAAGCAGGAGAGAUGCCCCUGCAGUGACGUGGGAAGAUUGUUUAGGGGACAGAGAAGAUGGCAGGUCUGAGUCUUAGGAGUGAACUAAGAAAUCAGAAGUGGCAGGCAGAGUUCAGUGAGCUCCAGAAGCACGGCCACUCACAUGGGUUACUGAAAGUGCCGUGAAACACCUGGAAAAUGUUGACGUUUCCUUCAGGCCUGGUUACAUCUGUGUGAAGAUAGUGCUGCUACUUCUAUGUAAUAGAACUAAAAGAAGGGAGUGUGUUUGGGUCAUUUAUUUGAAUCUAGUAGAACUUAGGCAAGCUGAGUUAAGCCAAACUGAGCUCCUUUUUAGGCUGUUCCUGGCCAGUUCCUAGCCAGCAUCACAUCUGGGAAGUGUUUACAUCCAUGUUUAAUCAUGAAAAGAUGGUACUUUCUUACCUCUUUCCUCUCCCUCUGGUUUUCAUUUUGUUUCUAUACCUUGGUCUCAUAUAUCACUUAAGGUCACUGCUUGUUUUGGCUUGGUUUGAAAUCCCUCCAGCUUCUGGCUUGUCAGCUCCCUGUUCCCUGCCACUCACAGAUCUCCAAGUCCACUUGAGUUUUGCAUGCUCUUCCCUUGCCACAUCCCUGACUUCUAGAAAGGCUUUACUUUUAGAAAGGCUUAAACCUGUAAUCCAGCUCUUGACCCAGAGCCUUCUUUCUGUUUUUUUUUUUUUUUUUUUUUCACUGUGACAGAACCUGCUCUUUGACCUUGUCCACAUCUCCAGUCCACCCCUUUACCUUGACAUUGUUGAUUUCCUCCAGUCAUGCUGCUUCUCCUGCUGAACCUGGACUCUGAAGUCAUCACUUUAACUGUUGUCCUGCGUGCACCAUUGUCUCUGGACCCUGUGACUUCCUGUGACUUCCUCCCCUCAUUAGCCUGUAAUGCAGCCUCCUGGCUUCUAUGCCUGAAUUGCAUGAGUGAGACAGAAUGUGGUAGCCCUGAGUAUUGGCUAGUGGACUUGGACUCUUCUGUCUUAGUGGGACAACCUGCGCCCCUGUCAGCGCCUUUUCAACCCCCCCCAGGGCUCUGGCCUCUGCCUGCGGCUUUGGGACCCUGAAAUCUCCAUCUGUGGCCUGGUGAUCCCCAUAGUUUCAGACUUACACGCCUGGAUUUCUCGGGCACUGCACAUGUCUGUACGUCGGUAACUACAAUAGGACAUUGUCCCCCCAACCUCAGCCUCAGUCGCCCAUCUCCCUUGUGUGUGUGGGAGCAAGAUCUGCCUAGUUACCAAACCAGAACAUGGGAGUCCUUCAUUUUGAACUCUUCCCUCUCCCUCCCCCACCCCCGGCCCACCCCAAUUUAACCAGCUGUGUUAUUUCUACCAUCCGUAGCAUUUGGUUGAACCAUAUGAAAUUGCUAUUUUGUAGGUCAAAAGUGGUCAGAUACCAACAAUUCAUACAGGUCCACCCACUUAAAGCUGUUCCUCCCCCUCUUCCCCUCCUCCCCCGCCCCUCACUCCCUCAGCUACUAAUACUGCUUUAGUUUAGACUCCCAUCUCUUGCCUGGCCUAUUGUAAUUGCCAUUAUCUGGGCUCCUUAUCUCCAAUAUUUUCUUCUUCUCAUCAGUCUCCUGCAUUGCUGCCAUUUUCAUUUUUGUGGUGUACCAGUCUGUUACUGGCACGUGUGUGUACACACACACACACACACACACACACACACCCUUCGUACCCUGUGUUCCAGCUACACUUCUUUCUGGCAGUUCCCCAAAUGCACCAUGCUAUUCCACACCUAUAUGCGUUUGCAUAUGGGCUUCUACUGGCGUGUUCUCUUCUUUGCCUGUCUUUCAGACUUCCACUUGGCAUCACUGCUUUUGUGAAACUCUUUAAUGUUCUCUGAGGUAAAGUUGGUUUUUGAAAUUAUUUUUUUAAUGUUUAUUUAUCUGAGAGAGUGGGAGAGGGAGAGGGAGAGAAUGAGUGGGAGAGGGACAGAGAGAGGGGGAGACAGAAUCCGAAACAGGCUCCGGGCUCCACGCUGUCGGCACAGAGCCCGACGUGGAGCUUGAACUCAUGAACUGUGCAAUCCCCAGCUGAGCUGAAGUGGGACGCUUGACUGACCGAGCCACCCAGGUGCCCCUGAGAUAAAGUUAUUAAUUCCCUUUUUGCCCCUGUAUGUCACAUAUAUCUUCUGAUGCACUGACAACUCUGUAUCGUGUUAUUUGUUUCUUUCUGUUUCCUUUAUUAGACCCGUGUCUUGAGGUCAGAGAACCACUUUGUCUUAGUUUUGUUCCUUUUUUUUUUUUUUAAGUUUAGUUUUGAGAGAGAAAGCACAAGUGAGGGAGGUGACAGAGAGAGAGGGAAAGAGAGAGAAUCCCAAGCAGGCUCCACACUGUCAGUGCACAGGCUGAUACGGGGCUUGAAACCAUGAGAUCCUGACCUGCGCCGAAAUCAAGAGUUGGACACUUAACUGACUGAGCCACACAGGCACCCCCUAGUUUUAUUCCUAAUAUGUAGCAAGAGCUGUGCACGUUUAUAGAGAGACGCAGUACGUGCUUUUGUGGUGGUGGUGGUGUGUGUGGUUUUUGUUUUGUUUUUGAGGCUGAGUACAUGUUAAAUGAUUGAAAGUCCAUUGUACCAAGGACACGUGGUUGGUUUUUUUUAUAAGAUUUUAAGAAAUCUCUUUCCUGGGGAUAGGAAGGAAAAGCAAAUAAAUGGUUUCUAUUUAUUUUUUUCUUAAUAAGGUAGCACAGCAGGAUUUAGUCCUAAAAUAAGACUGAAUUUUUAUCGUGGCUCCCUUCAUCAUAAGGAUUUUAAAUACACCAAACAACUUCGCCGUGACCUAGGUCUCUACGUGACAGAGGAGCCUGCGUAAUAGACACCCUGCUCAUGGUCUCAGAGCAUGUCAGACAUCAGGCGCUUUUGAAACGGUCUUUAAAACAGCAGAGUACCGUAUGAAUUUAAAAGAUUACUGUGACAGUGGUGGGAUAUUGUUAGGGGUCUGUAGUAGCCUGUCAGGUUGGAUUUGGAUUUCUUUUGAUCACAGUGUGCAUAUUAGAGUCAAGCCUGGUAGACCAGAAGAUCAUUAAAGGUUUUUUAUUAAGUUCUGUCCACUUGGUAGCUGCCUUGCUUUGGAUUUGAUAGUCACUGGGAGCAGGAACUAAGGGUAAUCGUUUUGAGAGGGCACCUUUCAUUUAAAAAAAAAAAAAAUUUUUUUUUUUUUAAUUUUAUUUUAAAGUAAUCUCUGCAUCCAAUGUGGGGCCGAAUCUCACAACCCCAAGAUCAAGAGUCACACGCUCUGCCGACUGAGCCAGCCAGAGAGGGCACCUUUUAAAAGGAAGUUUAAAUGUUCUAAGUCCGCAGUAGCUGCGUUUCUGUGUCAGUGAUGACAGUGGCCAUUCCUCCCAGAGGCAUCUGCUGGGCCUAUUGCUGGAGAGGAAGACUGAGAAUCAGUGGCUUCAGUUCUUCUAGCCAUUCUGCAUUAAAGCAUUGUAGUUGCCUCCUGAAUUAACUGCCAAUCAGGCAGUUCUUAGACUUCCUGGAAAAACUAAACUUUCCCCCCCCCCACCCAUAUUUAGUAAAAUAUCUUUGAAUUCCACAAGCACUCCCUCAGGUUUAUAAAACAUUUUUUUCUGAUUUUAGAAGUACCAUGUUAUAAAUAAAAACUAAACAAAUUAAAAAAAA